This 45-nucleotide non-coding RNA is filed under the name Trichobilharzia regenti. The record is from RNAcentral. Lineage: Eukaryota; Metazoa; Platyhelminthes; Trematoda; Strigeidida; Schistosomatidae.
AUCCGGCUGACGAGUCCCAUCUAUGACGAAAUGCGCAUCCUGGAU